UUUUCAAAUUAAUGUUGAAAAAAUAAUUUAUUCUAUUCUUAUCUGUUUUUCCAGACAAUAAAAUGCAACAUAGAACAUACUUGCAUAUUAGUAGUAAAAUUAACACAGCAACAAGAAAGACCAAAACUCUAUAAUCCACAACUGCAUAUAAGAAAGAUACAUUACUUGUAUUUAGAAAUUAGAAUUACUUCCCUAGUUCCCACCAAAAUGUUGGAUCCUGUUUUCACUGAGAUUAAGUUCUGCCAUUGCUUCGUCCAAUUCGCAACUACUCUCGACCAGCACAUGAGGAUCAUUAUAAUGCCUAACAGCCUG
RNAcentral lists this unclassified non-coding RNA (312 nucleotides) under Hevea brasiliensis (rubber tree). Lineage: Eukaryota; Viridiplantae; Streptophyta; Magnoliopsida; Malpighiales; Euphorbiaceae. The record is from RNAcentral.